CUUACAGACGUCCUGACAGCACAGCCCCUCACCAUGGACUGGAGCUGGAGAGUGCUUUUCCUGGUGUCAGUGAGUACAGGUGUCCACUCUGAAGUGCAGCUAUUACAGUCUGGGUCUGAGGUGAGGAAGCCUGGGGCCUCAGUGAAGGUCUCCUGCAAGGCUUAUGGAUACACCUUCACCAGCUACUGGAUGCAGUGGGUGCGACAGGCCCCAGGACAAGGACUUGAGUGGAUUGGAGAGGUUAAUCCUAGCAAUGGUAAUACAAACUACGCACAGAAGUUUAAGGGCAGAGCCACCAUAACUGCAGACAAGUCCAGGAGCACAGCCUACUUGGAGCUGAACAGCCUGAGAGCCGAGGACACGGCCGUGUAUUACCUUGUCCAAGCGGGCCAGCACCAGGGUACAUCCAUACUGUGCAGUGGGCAGCAGCAGCUAAUGAAAUGA
Non-coding RNA from Phyllostomus discolor (pale spear-nosed bat), 444 nucleotides. The record is from the annotation of a RefSeq genome assembly. Lineage: Eukaryota; Metazoa; Chordata; Mammalia; Chiroptera; Phyllostomidae.